Molecule: transfer RNA, 73 nt
Filed under: Brassica napus (rape)
Lineage: Eukaryota; Viridiplantae; Streptophyta; Magnoliopsida; Brassicales; Brassicaceae
Also listed under: 1 other name
Rfam family: tRNA
About the family: Transfer RNA (tRNA) molecules are approximately 80 nucleotides in length. Their secondary structure includes four short double-helical elements and three loops (D, anti-codon, and T loops).
Source: Rfam by way of RNAcentral
GUCCGUCUAGCUCAGUUGGCAGAGCGCAAGGCUCUUAACUUUGUGGUCGUGGGUUCGAGUACCCCGGUGGGCG